CAGAUGCAGGAGGAGUUGGACAGGAGUAUAACUAGAGAACUAGAAGAAGUUGAUGCUGAAUUUGCAUCUAAUUCCUUUAGAGUGUCUCCUUGAGGAUCUACAGAUGGGUCAAAUGUAUAUGAGGACCUACUAUGGAAAACAUCACAAGAAUAUGUACAGAUUUUGAGGAAAAAAGAUAUGAUUUGAAUGAUGAAUAGUAAAAGUUUCCCUACGGGACUGUUUACAGGAAGUUUUCAUUGUUUCCCAUUAAACCUGAUGAGAAAUUCUUUAUUAAAGGAAAAUAUUUUCAUA
This is a long non-coding RNA of Bubalus bubalis (water buffalo), 291 nucleotides long. RefSeq lists it as uncharacterized. Lineage: Eukaryota; Metazoa; Chordata; Mammalia; Artiodactyla; Bovidae. The record is from RefSeq and is a predicted model, not a curated record. The transcript has 2 exons.